Molecule: ribosomal RNA, 697 nt
Filed under: uncultured marine archaeon
Lineage: Archaea
Description: bacterial SSU rRNA
Rfam family: Archaeal small subunit ribosomal RNA
Source: RNAcentral
CUACCGCUAUUGGAGUUCGAUUAAGCCAUGCGAGUCGAGAGUCCUCGGGACUCGGCGUACCGCUCAGUAACACGUGGGUAACCUGCCCUAUGCUGGGGAAUAACCUCGGGAAACUGAGAACAAUGCCCCAUAGCCCACUACGCCUGGAACGGUGAGUGGGUCAAAGCUCCGGCGGCAUAGGAUGGGCCUGCGCCGUAUCAGGUUGUAGGGGGUGUAAAGUACCCUCUAGCCAUCAACGCGUACGGGUGUUGGGAGACAUUGCCCGGAGAUGGAUUCUGAGACACGAAUCCAGACCCUACGGGGUGCAGCAGGCGCGAAAACUUGGCAAUGCGAGAAAUCGUGACCAGGGAACUCCAAGUGCGUAGGGUAAGACCUACGCUUUUCUUGACUCUUCAAAGGUCUUGGAAUAAGGGGUGGGUAAGGACGGUGCCAGCCGCCGCGGUAAUACCGGCGCCUCAAGUGGUAGUCGCUUUUAUUGGGCCUAAAACGUCCGUAGCCGGUCUGGUGCAUUCGUGGGUAAAUCAACCCGCUCAACGGGUUGAAUUCUGCGAGCACGGCCAGACUUGGGACCGGGAGAGGUGUGGGGUACUCUCAGGGUAGGGGUAAAAUCCUGUCAUCCUGAGAGGACCACCUGUUGCGAAGGCGCCACACUAGAACGGAUCCGACGGUCAGGGACGAAACCUAGGGGCACGAACCA